CGGGUGUCCGCCACCACACCCAGCUAAUCUGCGUACUUUUCGUAGAGAGGGAAUUUCACCAUGUUGUCCAGAAUGGUCUCCUUCUCUUGACCUCGUGAUCCGCCCGCCUCGGCCACCGAAGUGCUGGGAUUACGGGUGUGAGCCACCGCGCCCGGCCGUCACCACAAGCUUUACCUGUUUACUGAACGAAAGAUAUGCUUCUUUCUUCCAAAAUUCAUAGGUUGCUGAGAAUAAAGCAAAAUCAAAGGAUUCUUCUGAGAUCCAGAAACCCAGGGAUGGUAAAGCCUCCAGAUUCA
RNAcentral lists this long non-coding RNA (296 nucleotides) under Homo sapiens (human). RNAcentral's name for it is "non-protein coding lnc-EPHA6-2:1". Lineage: Eukaryota; Metazoa; Chordata; Mammalia; Primates; Hominidae. The record is from RNAcentral.